GCCCGGCUAGCUCAGUCGGUAGAGCAUGAGACUCUUAUUUUCAGGGUCGUUGGUUCGAGCCCUACAAUGGGCG
This is a non-coding RNA of Rhipicephalus microplus (southern cattle tick), 73 nucleotides long. Lineage: Eukaryota; Metazoa; Arthropoda; Arachnida; Ixodida; Ixodidae. The record is from the annotation of a RefSeq genome assembly.